GAUGAACGCUGGCGGCGUGCCUAAUACAUGCAAGUCGAGCGAACGGACGAGAAGCUUGCUUCCCUGAUGUUAGCGGCGGACGGGUGAGUAACACGUGGAUAACCUACCUAUAAGACUGGGAUAACUUCGGGAAACCGGAGCUAAUACCGGAUGAUAUUUUGAACCGCAUGGUUCAAAAGUGAAAGACGGUCUUGCUGUCACUUAUAGAUGGAUCCGCGCUGCAUUAGCUAGUUGGUAAGGUAACGGCUUACCAAGGCAACGAUGCAUAGCCGACCUGAGGGGGUGAUCGGCCACACGGGAACUGAGACACGGUCCAGACUCCUGCGGGAGGCAGCAGUAGGGAAUCUUCCGCAAUGGGCGAGAGCCUGACGGAGCAACGCCGCGUGAGUGAUGAAGGUCUUCGGAUCGUAAAACUCUGUUAUUAGGAAAGAACAUAUGUGUAAGUAACUGUGCACAUCUUGACGGUACCUAGUCAGAAAGCCACGGCUAACUACGUG
This 497-nucleotide ribosomal RNA is filed under the name uncultured bacterium. RNAcentral describes it as "partial 16S ribosomal RNA". It matches the Rfam family "Bacterial small subunit ribosomal RNA", at positions 28 to 507 of the family's 1533-position model. The record is from RNAcentral.